RNAcentral lists this long non-coding RNA (3305 nucleotides) under Hermetia illucens (black soldier fly). RNAcentral describes it as "uncharacterized LOC119660768, transcript variant X2". Lineage: Eukaryota; Metazoa; Arthropoda; Insecta; Diptera; Stratiomyidae. The record is from RNAcentral.
UCUCGUCCUAAUAACUAACUGAAAUUUUAAUGUUUAUUGUUGGCUGUUCAAUUUAAUUAAGUUUCAAUUAACGUUUGCAAGUGAAGCCUAUAUCUGUUUGUUUUUGAUCUUUUUUUCCAGUUAUGAACACUUUGAAUUUAAAAAAAAAUUCCAAAGCAAAUAAACAUUACAUUCCAAACAUCAAUUUCAAUUUUGUCGCUUCCAUCCACGCUUUCUAAAACAAUAUAAAUAAAAUAAAGUGCAACUGAUUUUUUCCUGAAACGGGAUAUACUUUUUAUUAGUACAUACAUACGUAUUUCGCGCACAUGUCGUGUGCUCAGUACCUGAUCAGUAGUUGAUCGUAGCGUACAUGCUAAUAAAUAAUAUAUCCUGUUUCAGAAAAAAAUCAAUUGUAUUUUAUUUUAUUUAGAUUACAUUCUAAUAAGUAGAGAACAAUAUCGAGCACGUGAAAGGUAGAUCUAGCACUGGAGAAAUAUACGACAAAUAGCUCAACAACAAAAAUGUUUACACGUUUCUCCAGAGAAUACAAUUUAAAUUUUUUGCUUUUUUUUAAAUUUAUAUUGUUAUUGAAAAGUGUAGAAUUUUCCAAAAUAUGAAUAUUCGAAUCUUUUGGACAAUUUUGAAUAGAAUGUUUUAUAUUUGCACUUUAAAAUAUUCCUCACACCCAACGAAAUAUUUUGUUUAGAAAUUUUUACAAGCGCAUAUUUUUGCAACUGAAAUGGUCCGCCUCCAUUAAUCUAAUUGACUUUGCUUUUUAGACCCAUCAUAAGCGGUCAGUUUUUCAUCAGUUUACUAUAAGCUAACCCUUCCAAAAUUCACUAGUAAAUCAAAAGCAUGUUUCAACUUGCAACAGUCCGGCCAGACUAUUCAUUCGUCUGUCGUUCAUUGUUGUAAACAAUGAAUAUGCCAUAAUUUUGUCGUUCUGACUGACGCGAAACUGAUGAAAGACUGAUCGUGUGAAGUAGAUCUUACAAUGUGUUUUCUAAUCUAAUGUGUAUAUUUUCUAACCAAUUGUAUAUAGAUGGCUCAGUGGUUAGAACGACUUUCGUAGCGGUUGGAGGGGGGGAUUUUUGAAUGGAUGUCAGAUGUGUGAUAUCAGUCAACUCAGCUGUGUAUGAGUACCUGAGUAAAAAUCAAGAUUAUAAUACCAUUACGCACUUGAAUGAAGUGUUUUAAAAUGCUUUAAGGUCCUGGUCCAAUUGGAGUGUCACACCAACGAUUAUUAUUAUAAUCUAAUAAUAUAAUAUGAUUCAUCUAGAGUCAAAUUGAGGGUAUCGGCAUAUUCUUUCAGUAUUGACAGGCUCACGAAAUAAUAAAAUGAACGCUUUUCUCAAAUUAGAGUAAUAAAUUAAGAUAUUAUUGAAAAGUGAGAUGCUGCCUUCGAAGCGAAGAUUCCGGGUCGGUGUAUUACAACACUUUCCAACGAUUCGUAUAGCCUUUCUGAGUAGCUUUAAGGAAUUGUAGAUUUGGACAAUAACGGGAGGAUAGUAACGAACGACUAAGGUUUCUGUAAAGUAAUUAAAUUUCUUUUCUAUCUAUGCAAUCUCUGGGAAAGACCUCGGAUUCCCGUAAGAGUGAAAGUAGCAAAUCUACAAUAUCUGCAGGUGCAGCGAUAUAUACCUCUAUGGGAAGACUCUGCUUGCUGAAGCAGUCCAUGUCCGUAUGUUACGGCGGCUAGACAUUUCACCCAAAACAGGAGGAACUUCACCGGAUGUGAUACGGCUAAGAAACCAUGGUGAGAUGUUAUUUCCAUUCAGUUGCUCAUCAUCGUGGACGAAAAGUCGACCAGUGACGUCAUUCAAAAAACUAUUGGAAGAUUUGCGACCACAUAUGAGCGCAGAUUCUCAGAACUUCUCAAGAUUCCGUUCGGUAUCGGAGUUCGAGUGCGUUACGUCGCCAUCACUCGUAGCGGUCAGUAGAGCCUUCAACCCCUUCCGUUCAUCGAUCCGCUUCCACAGUCAGUGGGAUCUUAUGACGCCUCUCGGGAUGUAGCCGACCACCUGUGUAACACCUGAGAAAAGAGUUUUUUUGAUACAUCGAUAUUCUCAGGCUCAGGUUACUCAUUUGCAGAGGCAUAGAGACGCUAGCUCGAAAGUAAGGUGGAACCAAAUGAAUGCACUAAUCCAAAGAAUGGUUAUUAUCUUUAGGAAUAAAAGAUGGAAUUUAAUUCUGAGUGAAUUGAAGAUAGGAAGCGAACCCUUCUGGAACAUUGCCAACAUUUUAAAAAAACUAAACUAAAAAUGUUGUGUGUAUUGUGUUUAAAAGAUAGUAACAAAAUAGACUUUACCAUAAAGAAAAACGCGAGGCAUUUAGCAGAUAUUUUUACUAAAAACUUUUCAAUUUUCAUCGACAAUAUCGGUUACCCCUGCUAUGAUGAUAACGUGGCUCAAUAGAUGCAAAUAACAUUUGAAUUUGAUUGUUUAUAUUUAGAAAAUGAAACUAGACUUCUUUUUAAUAAAAAUAAUCAGCCAUUUAGUUUCCAUGUGGUCUCUGUUCUACAAAGUUCGCACUUAACAAUCUUCCCGAGUUUGCCUUUCUGACGAAUCAUGGGUAUAUGCCUCGACUGAACAAUCAAGUUUUGAGAGAAGAAGACCUGGUGAAAAAUUUAAAGAAGAUUGCAUUGUAAAACGAAUCAAGCAUUCAUUCAGUAUUAUAGCCUAGUCAAUGAUUGGCAACAAAAAUACAGGAUCCCUAUAAAUUGUCCAAAAGACGGGCAGGUCCAAUGUAUGGUCUAGAAGCCAGAAUGAUACUCAAAGUACACGAAUAUAGUUUAACGCGAUUUUUUCUCAAAUUUUGACAAACAGUAGUAGUCAUUUUGUUACGAAAAAUUAACCUUCCUUUCACCGUUAUAAGAUCUUGUUGACAUCCUAAGAUCCCAAUGUGAUAGGUAUAGUAGUUUGAAUAGAAUCUCACUCAUUAAAAAAAACCUGAAGUAGUCGUUCUUAGCUAUAGAGACAUAUCAAUGAUAUCAAUCAAUCAUAAAUAAGACAGUGCAAAUCUAGAAUAGUGCCCACAAGGCCAAGCAGUUUAGCGGACAACAUUCUUGCGGAUAUAUUACAAAUUAGAAGGAUCACUGCUUUUUCAUGUUUAGAUUGGCACUUAGAUCAAGCAUCUUUGUUGCUUUAUGUAAAUUUCACGGAGCUAAUUCUGUCGUUGAGAUCACAACUAGGUCUACUUGGAUUUCUUAAAGUCUUGUUGCAGAUUUUCAACAAAGUUCCGAUUCGAUAGUAUGGUUACAUUGAUUGUGAAGCACGCUCUUUUUUCCUGGGGAAGUAAAACUAAAUCGAGCCUAUUGUGACUAACAC